This 242-nucleotide ribosomal RNA is filed under the name uncultured bacterium. RNAcentral describes it as "partial 16S ribosomal RNA". It matches the Rfam family "Bacterial small subunit ribosomal RNA", at positions 333 to 567 of the family's 1533-position model. The record is from RNAcentral.
GGUGUCCUACGGGACGCAGCAGUAGGGAAUCUUCCACAAUGGACGAAAGUCUGAUGGAGCAACGCCGCGUGAGUGAAGAAGGGUUUCGGCUCGUAAAGCUCUGUUGGGAGUGAAGAAAGAUAGAGGUAGUAACUGGCCUUUAUUUGACGGUAUUUUCUUAGAAAGUCACGGCUAACUACGUGCCGGCAGCCGCGGUAAUACGUAGGUGGCAAGCAGUGUCCGGAUUUAUUGGGGGUAAAGCG